AGCAGUAGCCACGGUAAUACGGAGGGGGCUAGCGUUGUUCGGAAUUACUGGGCGUAAAGCGCACGUAGGCGGCUUGGUAAGUUAGAGGUGAAAGCCUGGAGCUCAACUCCAGAAUUGCCUUUAAGACUGCCGAGCUAGCAGGUGAGAGAGGUAAGUGGAAUUCCGAGUGUAGAGGUGAAAUUCGUAGAUAUUCGGAAGAACACCAGUGGCGAAGGCGGCUUACUGGCUCAUACUGGACGCUGAGGUGCGAAAGCGUGGGGAGCAAACAGGAUUAGAUACCCCGGUAGUCCCUGUCUCUUAUAC
This 303-nucleotide ribosomal RNA is filed under the name uncultured bacterium. RNAcentral's name for it is "partial 16S ribosomal RNA". It matches the Rfam family "Bacterial small subunit ribosomal RNA", at positions 507 to 807 of the family's 1533-position model. The record is from RNAcentral.